RNAcentral lists this long non-coding RNA (274 nucleotides) under Mytilus galloprovincialis (Mediterranean mussel). Lineage: Eukaryota; Metazoa; Mollusca; Bivalvia; Mytilida; Mytilidae. The record is from RNAcentral.
GGCUUGAAGACGAAAUAAAUCUAUAUUUGUAAGGGGUUUUGUGUAGCUUCGGAAGCCAAUACAUAGUUGGGACUUUCAUUGUAUUUGGCUCUGCUUGUAAAGCGGUGGCUAAAAGUUUAUGUUUGUUACAGAUUUCGUUUUCUGAAAAUAGAGUCAGUUGGAAUGUUGGUGAAUUGGUGAUUUCCUUUUUCAGAACCUCAAUGUAAAAUUUACGUCAAACAAUAAUAAUAUUAUUAGCAGCUUUAUCGGCCGGGACAAAAACAAAUUCCUUGGC